Molecule: ribosomal RNA, 499 nt
Filed under: uncultured bacterium
Lineage: Bacteria
Description: partial 16S ribosomal RNA
Rfam family: Bacterial small subunit ribosomal RNA
Source: RNAcentral
GAUGAACGCUGGCGGCGUGCCUAAUACAUGCCAGUCGAGCGAACAGACGAGAGUGCUUGCACUCUCUGACGUUAGCGGCGGACGGGUGAGUAACACGUGGGUAACCUACCUAUAAGACUGGGAUAACUUCGGGAAACCGGAGCUAAUACCGGAUAAUAUUUAGCUUCGCAUGAAGCAAUAGUGAAAGACGGUUCUGCUGUCACUUAUAGAUGGACCCGCGGUGUAUUAGCUAGUUGGUGAGGUAACGGCUCACCAAGGCGACGAUACAUAGCCGACCUGAGAGGGUGAUCGGCCACACUGGGACUGAGACACGGCCCAGACUCCUACGGGAGGCAGCAGUAGGGAAUCUUCCGCAAUGGACGAAAGUCUGACGGAGCAAUGCCGCGUGAGUGAAGAAGGUUUUCGGAUCGUAAAACUCUGUUGUAAGGGAAGAACAAGUACGUUAGUAACUGAACGUACCUUGACGGUACCUUACCAGAAAGCCACGGCUAACUACGUG